This 378-nucleotide ribosomal RNA is filed under the name uncultured eukaryote. RNAcentral's name for it is "SSU rRNA". It matches the Rfam family "Eukaryotic small subunit ribosomal RNA", at positions 587 to 972 of the family's 1831-position model. The record is from RNAcentral.
AGCUCUGUAAGCGUAUACCAAAGUUGUUGCAGUUAAAACGCUCGUAGUCGGACGUUGGUGGGCGUCUCAAGUCGGCCUCACGGCUGGUCUUGUGGGCGGCCGCCUUUGUGGAGGGGGGCUUCGUGGUGCUUCAUUGUCAUCGCGGAGUCGCUGCCACCGUUUACUGUGAAAAAAUUAGAGUGUUCAAAGCGGGCGUUUGCCAUGAAUACAUUAGCAUGGAAUAAUAGAAUAGGACCUGGUCCUGUUUUGUUGGUUUGUGAGUAUCAGGUAAUGAUUAAGAGGGACGGUUGGGGGCAUUUGUAUUCCGGGGUUAGAGGUGAAAUUCUUGGAUCCUCGGAAGACAAACAGCUGCGAAAGCGUCUGCCAAGGACGUUUUCA